UACGGAGGAUGCAAGCGUUAUCCGGAUUCAUUGGGUUUAAAGGGUCCGUAGGCGGAUUUUUAAGUCAGAGGUGAAAGCCUACAGCUCAACUGUAGAAUUGCCUUUGAUACUGGAAGUCUUGAGUAUAAUUGAAGUGGGCGGAAUACGUCAUGUAGCGGUGAAAUGCAUAGAUAUGACGUAGAACACCGAUUGCGAAGGCAGCUCACUAAGUUAUAACUGACGCUGAGGGACGAAAGCGUGGGGAGCAAAC
RNAcentral lists this ribosomal RNA (250 nucleotides) under uncultured bacterium. RNAcentral's name for it is "partial 16S ribosomal RNA". It matches the Rfam family "Bacterial small subunit ribosomal RNA", at positions 524 to 773 of the family's 1533-position model. The record is from RNAcentral.